RNAcentral lists this ribosomal RNA (482 nucleotides) under uncultured bacterium. Its description in RNAcentral is "bacterial SSU rRNA". It matches the Rfam family "Bacterial small subunit ribosomal RNA", at positions 30 to 507 of the family's 1533-position model. The record is from RNAcentral.
AUUGAACGCUGGCGGCAUGCCUUACACAUGCAAGUCGAACGGUAACAGGUCUUCGGAUGCUGACGAGUGGCGAACGGGUGAGUAAUACAUCGGAACGUGCCCGAUCGUGGGGGAUAACGCAGCGAAAGCUGUGCUAAUACCGCAUACGAUCUACGGAUGAAAGCGGGGGAUCGCAAGACCUCGCGCGGACGGAGCGGCCGAUGGCAGAUUAGGUAGUUGGUGGGAUAAAAGCUUACCAAGCCGACGAUCUGUAGCUGGUCUGAGAGGACGACCAGCCACACUGGGACUGAGACACGGCCCAGACUCCUACGGGAGGCAGCAGUGGGGAAUUUUGGACAAUGGGGGAAACCCUGAUCCAGCCAUGCCGCGUGCAGGAUGAAGGCCUUCGGGUUGUAAACUGCUUUUGUACGGGACGAAAAGGUCCUUUCUAAUAAAGAGGGCUCAUGACGGUACCGUAAGAAUAAGCACCGGCUAACUACGUG